GCUGAAGAGACCGCCUGAAAUUCAGUCCUGUGGUGGCGAGUCGGCGUUUCCAGAUACCGUCAGGUCCUUGCCAGGACCGGCGGCACUGGGCGUUUUCGACACUGCUGCGGGAUGCACUUUUUGGGCGUUAGCACUGGGACCAGUGACUAGGCUGGACUGUCUCCCACUGGAGAAGGUAGUGCGUGUGUUGGGCUCUCCGCUUCGCGGCGGCUGAUCUCCCGCGCAUGUUACAGCUCCUGGGAACGGCAAUCUCCGGCUGAACACUGUCAAAUGCGGCCUGCCAAUCUCGCUCGUCCGUUGUAGUUAUGUUCCGGUCGUGGCAUUGUAUUUACUGUUUUCAGUGGAUCUUUGUUUGCGACCGGUGCGCUACCGGCGGCGGUGCAGUGGUGCCAAAUAGUCCCCAGUGUGCAAGUAGGUCAACUACCCGACCCGUCUUGAAACACGGACCAAGGAGUUCAGUAUAUGCGCGAGUCAAUGGGCGUUACGAAACCCUACGGCGCAAUGAAAGUGAAGGCCGAUUUUAACCGGUCGCGCUUCCGUGUGAUCCCGAGACCGCAAGGUUGAGGGCGCAACACGAGCCAGGACGAUCCUCCUUGUGAGAAGUGCUGAGCUUGAGCGCAUAUACUGAGACCCGAAAGAUGGUGACCUAUGCUUGCUCAGGUUGAAGCCAGAGGAAACUCUGGUGGAGGACCGUAGCAGUUCUGACGUGCAAAUCGAUUGUCAGAAGUGAGUAUAGGGGCGAAAGACUAAUCGAACCAUCUAGUAGCUGGUUCCCUCCGAAGUUUCCCUCAGGAUAGCUGGCGCUCGAUUUUUAUCACAGUUUGGUCCGGUAAAGCGAAUGAUUAGAGGUCCUGGGGACGAAAUGUCUUCAACCUAUUCUCAAACUUUAAAUGGGCCAGACGGCAUUGUCACUUAAUUGGACUUUGUCACGUAGUAGAAUGAGAGUGUCUAGUGGGCCAUUUUUGGUAAGCAGAACUGGCGCUGUGGGAUGAACCAAACGUUCGGUUAAGGUGCCAAAUGCAGUCGCUUAUGAGACACCAGAAAAGGUGUUGGUUGGUAUAGACAGCAGGACGGUGGCCCUGGAAGUCGGAAUCCGCUAAGGAGUGUGUAACAACUCACCUGCCGAAUCAACCAGCCCUGAAAAUGGAUGGCGCUUUAGCGAUGGACCUAUACCGGACCGGCACGGCGGGUCGACAGAGGCGGCGUGUGCGUGGGCAACCGCGUGUGCGCGCAGCACUGUUAUGGAGGCCGUGUCGAGUAGGAGGGCCACCGUGGUAGCAUAGAAGCUUAAGCCGUGAGGCUGAGUGGAGCU
Molecule: ribosomal RNA, 1312 nt
Filed under: Plagiostomum ochroleucum
Lineage: Eukaryota; Metazoa; Platyhelminthes; Prolecithophora; Plagiostomidae
Description: eukaryotic LSU rRNA
Rfam family: Eukaryotic large subunit ribosomal RNA
Source: RNAcentral